GACGAACGCUGGCGGCGUGCCUAAUACAUGCAAGUAGAACGCUGAAGGAGGAGCUUGCUUCUCUGGAUGAGUUGCGAACGGGUGAGUAACGCGUAGGUAACCUGCCUGGUAGCGGGGGAUAACUAUUGGAAACGAUAGCUAAUACCGCAUAAGAGUAGAUGUUGCAUGACAUUUGCUUAAAAGGUGCAAUUGCAUCACUACCAGAUGGACCUGCGUUGUAUUAGCUAGUUGGUGAGGUAACGGCUCACCAAGGCGACGAUACAUAGCCGACCUGAGAGGGGGAUCGGCCACACUGGGACGGAGACACGGCCCAGACUCCUACGGGAGGCAGCAGUAGGGAAUCUUCGGCAAUGGACGGAAGUCUGACCGAGCAACGCCGCGGGAGUGAAGAAGGUUUUCGGAUCGUAAAGCUCUGUUGUAAGAGAAGAACGAGUGUGAGAGUGGAAAGUUCACACUGUGACGGUAUCUUACCAGAAAGGGACGGCUAACUACGUG
RNAcentral lists this ribosomal RNA (495 nucleotides) under uncultured bacterium. RNAcentral's name for it is "partial 16S ribosomal RNA". It matches the Rfam family "Bacterial small subunit ribosomal RNA", at positions 28 to 507 of the family's 1533-position model. The record is from RNAcentral.